Molecule: RNA transcript, 1688 nt
Organism: Rosa rugosa (rugosa rose)
Lineage: Eukaryota; Viridiplantae; Streptophyta; Magnoliopsida; Rosales; Rosaceae
Gene name: transcription elongation factor SPT6 homolog
Exons: 2
Source: RefSeq, a predicted model, not a curated record
ACGUCGUCCGGCGAGGCACCCAAACCUUUUCUUCCUCGCAGAGAUCGACGACCUGCAGCUGCACAACAAACCUCAGCCACGCCACUAACAACUCCUUCCUUCUCUGGUAAGCAACGAUCACCUCUCCUAUGUGGUAACUUCCAAAAUCCAAAAAUUUCAUGGUUCUGGGUUGGGUUAAUUGAUGAGAUAGAGAGGUGGAGAGAGACUAAAAUAUCAGAUUUUCUCUCCGUGGUCGACUAACUUCGAUCAUAUUUGUGGCUCACUACUGCCUCCGUCAUGCUCACCGACCCUCGACGAGCAAAACCCAUUCUCCAUGUUGUCCGGCGAUGCCCAAAAGUGAACUCAGGCGCCGGCAAACCAAUAUCCAGAAUUGAGUUGGACACCCUGGUCCGACACAACACCGCCAAGAGCCUAUCUCUUCUUCCAUUAAUCACAUUUGCAAACCUCAUAGUUGUGGAUUCAUGUAUGAGAGAGAAACAAGGAGAGAUAAGCUAAAUCCCGGAUUUCCUCUCACCAUGGUUGAAGAAUUUGGGUACCCAUCCCGGCAGCUCCUCUGGUCACCACUCCACAUCUCAGCACUAGUCUUGUAUGCCUGGAACAAUGGCAUCUCUCAGUGGCAAUUGCACAACCCAGCUCCCAGUGUUGUCGUCCUCGUCCCGACAACUCCUCGUCUCUUCACCUCGGUUCAAACGGGCACUUGGCAUCCUUUACCGACAGUCCACAAGCUGCUAUCGCUGUCACACCUCACCGCCUCUUGGUGAACAACACCCCACCUACUGUUGGCGCCCAACUACCGGCGACACCAUACGUACCGGCAACACAUCCCGGUGACCCACACCGAGCUUUUUCAAUCUUCUAUGAAGUUCCUUGAGAGUGCUACCUCAGAGAGAGAGGUUGAGGACGUUGAAACAAAAUUCAAAUUCCAUUUCAAUCAAGAUGUGUUACCUCUUGAGCUACAUAAUGUCGCUGAAGAAGAUAUUUGGAAGCAAGUGUGGGAAGCAUGCCAGUAUAAGGUGGAAUCAGUUUAUAGCGUCUGCAGCAAGGCUGGCCUGUGGAGGGUUGCAUGCAACUUCGGUCCUAGCUCUGAAGAACUUGGGUUGCAAUUAUCAGGGGAAAUGGUGAGUUCUCUUUUUCUUGAACUUUUUAUUGUUGUAGAGAAUCACACUCAGUGGUUCGUCGAGGAAUGAUGAGAUGACUUUACAGCAAUUGCUGUUUGGCCUCUGUUCCUCUUUUUCAGGAACUAAAUAUCAAUGAGCUGGAGGAACCUGAAGAGAUGCCACUGGAGAUUGCUGCAAGAUUUACAUCCGAUAUUUUUCAAACGCGGGAACACGUGCUUAAAGGAGCAAGGCUGUUAGCAGCUGUUGAGAUUAGUUUGGAGCCUAUUAUCAGGCAGUAUAUGCGAAGAAAAUACUUUGACGCCCUUGUAUUACGUGCAAGGCUAUCAAGGAAGACAAUGUGGCCUAAAGUAGGAAAGAGAUUAAGUAAAUUCAAGGACGAAGAAUUGUUUCGUAUCCAGAAGGCUAAAGAUAAUGGUACUCUUGAUUUCACCAUAAAGCUGCUGGAUGAUGAUGUAGAAGACUUGUAUGAUGAUGAUGAUACAAAUAACAACAAUGAUUUGACAUUGUAAGUACUGUAUAUGUUAAUUUACUCAUGAGAAUAAAUAGGCCCUCCUGGUGAAGACUUUCUUC